Molecule: non-coding RNA, 500 nt
Organism: Pelobates cultripes (western spadefoot toad)
Lineage: Eukaryota; Metazoa; Chordata; Amphibia; Anura; Pelobatidae
Source: the annotation of a GenBank genome assembly
GCAGAAUGUAAUCUUUAGAAAAAUAAAUUUUUAUUUCCAGGUUUUUAUUUCCCGCUUAUAAAUAUAUAUUUCAGAUAUCGAAUCUGAAAAUGGUAAACAGGUGUUCGAAAAGUCCGUCUUAGUUUUGGGAAUUAAAAAAUAAAAAAUAGUUCUGAUUCUGCAGACGUCACUAACCACAGCUCCGAUUGCAAGAAAUCAGUGGCCGAGAGCUAUUUGUAGAAUCCAGGAAAUAUUUAGAAGCCAAAAAUAAAUGUUAGAAGCAAAGUAAGGGGUAAAUCCAUUGGGCUAACAAAAAAUAUUAAAAUCCAGCAGUAACACUUCCUGGAGUUAUGACUCGUUGGCUGUUGUUGCAGCAUGCAAUAAGUGACCAACACUAUCAAUGGGGAGACGAGAUAGUCAUUAAAAGCGCUGGUUUUGAAGGGUAGACAAUUCCGAUCUAUACUGGUCUGAUGUUCACGUAGACACCCCAGUAAUAAGCCCUGUGUAUUGCAAUGAAUACA